This 253-nucleotide ribosomal RNA is filed under the name Lactobacillus sp. ZR-115. RNAcentral's name for it is "partial 16S ribosomal RNA". It matches the Rfam family "Bacterial small subunit ribosomal RNA", at positions 524 to 776 of the family's 1533-position model. The record is from RNAcentral. Lineage: Bacteria; Bacillati; Bacillota; Bacilli; Lactobacillales; Lactobacillaceae.
UACGUAGGUGGCAAGCGUUGUCCGGAUUUAUUGGGCGUAAAGCGAACGCAGGCGGGAGAAUAAGUCAGCUGUGAAAGCCCUCAGCUUAACUGGGGAACUGCAGCUGAAACUAUUUUUCUUGAGUGCAGAAGAGGAGAGUGGAACUCCAUGUGUAGCGGUGGAAUGCGUAGAUAUAUGGAAGAACACCAGUGGCGAAGGCGGCUCUCUGGUCUGUAACUGACGCUGAGGUUCGAAAGCAUGGGUAGCGAACAGG